Molecule: ribosomal RNA, 221 nt
Filed under: uncultured bacterium
Lineage: Bacteria
Description: partial 16S ribosomal RNA
Rfam family: Bacterial small subunit ribosomal RNA
Source: RNAcentral
AGUAAUGUCUGGGAAACUGCCUGAUGGAGGGGGAUAACUACUGAAACGGUAGCUAAUACCGCAUAACGUCGCAAGACCAAAGUGGGGGACCUUCGGGCCUCAUGCCAUCAGAUGUGCCCAGAUGGGAUUAGCUAGUAGGUGGGGUAACGGCUCACCUAGGCGACGAUCCCUAGCUGGUCUGAGAGGAUGGCCAGCCACACUGGAACUGAGACACGGUCCAG